Paramuricea clavata is the source of this 152-nucleotide non-coding RNA. Lineage: Eukaryota; Metazoa; Cnidaria; Anthozoa; Malacalcyonacea; Plexauridae. The record is from the annotation of a GenBank genome assembly.
UUAUCAGACUUGUUACAAGGUUGUUCUAACAAAUCUGAUACAAUCACGAUAUAAGAAGGAUGUUGCAAGAUUGACGACACAAGAUUGUAACAGUAUUGUUAUUUCAUGACUGUAUCGGACUUGUUGGAACAAUCUUGCAACAAGUAUGAUAA